This 71-nucleotide non-coding RNA is filed under the name unclassified sequences. RNAcentral describes it as "RAGATH-18 RNA". It matches the Rfam family "RAGATH-18 RNA". From Rfam's summary of the family: Actinobacteria, Firmicutes, Fusobacteria, Thermotogae (1 example). Nearby to self-cleaving ribozyme genes The record is from Rfam by way of RNAcentral.
CUUGUGGAGUGUUAUAUCAAAUGUUAGUAGUAUGCUGAAAAGCUAUGAGAACAGACACGUUGAAGCAAGAA